Callithrix jacchus (white-tufted-ear marmoset) is the source of this 2146-nucleotide non-coding RNA. NCBI's taxonomy places the organism in Eukaryota, Metazoa, Chordata, Mammalia, Primates, Cebidae. The record is from RefSeq and is a predicted model, not a curated record.
CACCAGGCCAUGCUCAUCUUUCCCCACCCCAGGCAGAACUCCAGCAACAUUUAAUUAGUUUCUAAAGUUCAUCCCUUGGGAAUGUUCACCCAUAUAUCUGGGCAGCCAGUCACUGGCACUCAUAUCACCCUCCAGAUCCUGAGUUCUGAGCUAAAAAGAGCCAAGCAGAAAGCCCUGUAGGGGAAAGGGGGUACAGGUGUGGAGAGAGGGGGAGAUCUCUUUGGAGACAAUCUCUGUAAGUAUUAACAAGGUGAGUGGGGACUAGAGAGACCCUGCAGAUAAGACAGCUAGUAUCCAGCAGCUGCCCCCAUUGAAGCACUCACGGCAUCUCCUCAGGUAGGACAUCUGCCAGGAUAUUGAUAGAAUCUGUCUUAGCCUUGGAGGUGGGAGCUGCAGCCAGCAGAAUCUUAAGCAGAGCGAUCUGGAAAGUAGAAAAUAAAGAAAUCCACCACUGUCCAACCCACUCAGCAAGGCAGUGGUUCUUCCACAUCUUAACAUCCCUGUGAAAAGUGUUUUAAAGCCAUUCUCUAAGUUCUUCCCUCAAUGACCAUAUCUCUCUAGCAUCCAGAAGACCAAUCAGGUGCCCAGUCCUGAGAGGCCUGCCCGUGAGGAUAAAGAGAAAGCCAGAGGGAGCUCAUUGGCUGUUCUGCUUCAAGACUGUUCUUUCCAGGGCCUGGCCUGGUGGCUGAUGCCUGUAAUCCCAGCACUUUCAGAGGCUGAGACAGGCAGAUCACUUGAGGUCAGAAGUUCAAGACCAGCCUGGCCAAAAUGGCGCAAUCCCGUCUCUACUAAAAAUACAAAAAUUAGCUGGUGUGGUGUCACAUACCUGUAAUCCCAGCUAUUUGAGAGGCUGAGGCAGGAGAAUCACUUGAACCCGGGAGGUGGAGGUUGCAGUGAGCCAAGAUCAUGCCACUGCACUCCAGCCUAGGCAAUAAAGUGAGACUCUGCCUCAAAAAAAUAAAUUAAAAAAAAGACUGUUCUUUUCAAAGGGGAAUAUGGACAGAACAGAAUGAGAGGGACAGUGUGUAGAAAUAAGGUGAGAGGCAUAAGCCCAACUUCUCCCACUCUUUUCCUUCCUCUAACCCAAACCAUUGGCAUCUUCCCCACCCCCCAGCCUGAGGCUAUCUAGGACAUGACAGACCACAGCAGAUAUCAAAGGGUCUACAGUACUUAUCUCGGAGGAGGGUCCCCAAUGUAUCCUGUAGAGAAACUCAACUUAUUCCCCACCUCUCCCAAAGAAGGACUAGAGAGAACAGUACCAUCAGAGGAGUACUGAGGAAAGUCAGAAGUUUCAUGUCAGAGAAUGCCUUGCCAAAUGGGCACAGGCUCAGGAAACAAGCUCAAGUGUUGGAUGGAUCGGCUUGAAAUGGUUUUUAGCUGUCUGUUCCUUGCAGCAGAGAAAGGCAGUUCUGGCCUAGCCACCUCCUUACCAUAUACUGGGGGAGGCUGUACAGCAUUCCCUGGUACAGAAUUUCACAUGGCGUCUCUGGUACCACCUCUUCCCCCUAUGACAAGAAAUACAUGAUUUGCCAAGGCCACUUUCCAGGUGGCCAAAGGCUUUAUUUUCUUGGUUGUGAAGGGUGACCUGAAAAGAGCACUAAGCUGGGAGUCAGAUCUAGGUUCCUACCCUAGCUCUGUUAAUGACUCACUGUACAUCCUUAGAUAAGUCACAUUCAUUCUCUGAGUCCUAGUUUACUCUUCAAUAGGACCAUCAGGCUGGCCUGGAUGACCUCUUAGGACCUGGGAUACUGGAACAGAUGCUCCAUAUAGAAGCACUUCCCAUGGUGUCAAUCUGAGGCUGGAAGGAGAGCACUUUCCUUCCUAAUUAUGCUCUGCUUAGGUGAACAUUCAAUUAGUUUGCCUUCUGUGAAAAUACACCAGCUGGCGGACUGAGGAAGAGGAGGACAGAAGCUUACUGCUAGGCAGAGGGAAGCAAGUUUGGAAUUUUAAAUCUUGUCACAAAUAAAAGAAGAUUGGACAGAAAUAAGCCAAAAAGUUAACAGUGACUGUCUCUGGUUGUUAAGAUUGUGGGUGAUUUUUCUUUUCUCCCUUCGUCACAUUUUUAUAUUUGUUCCAAAUUUUCUACAAUGAGUAAGCAUUACUUUAUAAAACAAAAAUAAAGGUUAAAAAAUUGCAUUGCAGAUAA